RNAcentral lists this ribosomal RNA (403 nucleotides) under uncultured bacterium. RNAcentral describes it as "bacterial SSU rRNA". It matches the Rfam family "Bacterial small subunit ribosomal RNA", at positions 96 to 503 of the family's 1533-position model. The record is from RNAcentral.
GUGCGGACGGGUGAGUAAUCCAUCGGAACGUAUCCUAAAGUGGGGGAUAACGCAUCGAAAGAUGUGCUUAAUCCCGCAUAUACUCUGAGGAGGAAAGUAGGGGAUCGAAAGACCUUAUGCUUUUGGAGCGGCCAAUGUCUGAUUAGCUAGUUGGUAAGGUAAUGGCUUACCAAGGCAACGAUCAGUAGUUGGUCUGACAGCACGCCCAGCCCUACUGGGACUGAGCCCGGCCCAGACUCCUACGGGAGGCAGCAGUGGGGAAUUUUGGACAAUGGGCGCAAGCCUGAUCCAGCAAUGCCGCGUGAGUGAAGAAGGCCUUCGGGUUGUAAAGCUCCUUUCAGUUGAGAAGAAAAGAUUGUAACUAAUAAUUACAUCCGUGACGGUUGGUCCCCCGAGUUGACGG